RNAcentral lists this ribosomal RNA (253 nucleotides) under uncultured bacterium. Its description in RNAcentral is "partial 16S ribosomal RNA". It matches the Rfam family "Bacterial small subunit ribosomal RNA", at positions 524 to 776 of the family's 1533-position model. The record is from RNAcentral.
UACGAAGGGGGCUAGCGUUGCUCGGAAUCACUGGGCGUAAAGCGCACGUAGGCGGGCCUUUAAGUCAGGGGUGAAAUCCUGGAGCUCAACUCCAGAACUGCCUUUGAUACUGAGGAUCUCGAGUCCGGGAGAGGUGAGUGGAACUCCGAGUGUAGAGGUGAAAUUCGUAGAUAUUCGGAAGAACACCGGUGGCGAAGGCGGCAUCCUGGACCGGUAUUGACGCUGAUGAGCGAAAGCCAGGGGAGCAAACGGG